CAUCUUAUUCCUCAGCUAGUUUUGUCUCCCUGUGUGUGAUCAUAAGCAGGGAGGCAAAACUAGCUAAGGAAUAAGAUG
This is a microRNA precursor of Bison bison bison, 78 nucleotides long. NCBI's taxonomy places the organism in Eukaryota, Metazoa, Chordata, Mammalia, Artiodactyla, Bovidae. The record is from Ensembl.